This 1207-nucleotide long non-coding RNA is filed under the name Gallus gallus (chicken). Its description in RNAcentral is "long non-coding RNA NONGGAT008492". The record is from RNAcentral. Lineage: Eukaryota; Metazoa; Chordata; Aves; Galliformes; Phasianidae.
GGGGAAGCUACGGGCGCCAUCUUGGCUGCGGGCACAGCCGCGGGGUGGACCUACCCUGCGGGCAGAGUGACCGUGGUUGGCUACCGCCGGAGGCCCUACGGCCGUAGAACGGCGGUCGCUGAGCGGGCGGGGAGCCCCACAGGCAGAGCGGCGCGAGUUGCGCGCCAAAUUCUCACCUCACAGGAGGCUCUACCAGGCUGCGCGGGAAGCGUUUUUGCCCUUGAAGGGAUUGGUGUGCCUCAGGGUCUUAGCGUUUCACACGCUUGAGAGAGGCCUACACAGCCUGAGGGCCAUAUAUAAACGAACAUAAAACCUGCUGCUGUUGUAAAGCAGCCUGUGCCUCAUCCACAGCGUUCAUAUAAGACUAAAGAAAUUCUCUUGAAAUUCAUUAGAUUUCUAAAAAAGAACAAUAAAAGACUUAAUACAGCUUGAUAGUACAGCUUUUCACAAACACAUCAGCAGUGCUAGCAGCUACCCAAGGCAGAAAAUGUGAAGUAAAGGUCUUCUACGUGAUACCUCCAGAGUCUCAGCAAAACUAGAAGGAGCCUCACUCUAUAUCUAUCUACUCUCACAAAAAAUAGGACCAGAAAUAAGACUGUAUCCAGCUCGGAAGCAGGGAGAGCAAGCUUUAAGAAGUCCUGAGCUUUUUCCCUGGCCCAAGGAGCACAGGCAAAGUGUUUGCACCUGUGCUCCCCACCUGACCGGAAGGGGUGGGCACAGGGUGCAGCCCCCCCUGGGCUCAUAUAAGGGCCAGCCACUGAAGGGAAAGAAUCCCUUGAACCUGGGUUGCUUCUGAAGAAGACUACUAUGUAGCCAGAAAGCCUCUCCUUUACCAGUUAGGAAACUUUUUAACUUUACCUCCUGAGCAUCAAGGAAGCGUCCCUGAGUCCACCAGAGACAGGAGCUGGGCAACUGCACAGCAACGAACAAAACCAUUUCCCUGAAGGCCACCAACUGAAAAUGAAGCUCUUGUGUGUCUGUGCGUGCCCUACAUUCGCAAUUUGUUCACCUAUGUUGGUUAAGUCCCACACCACUGUGCAGACUAGAAAGGAACCAUAAAGUUUGUGGUCAGGUGGGCAUCUAAGAUAUAAAGAGGUAUGCCAAUAAAAAGCCUUCAUAAAUCUCUAUGCCCAGAAGCACAUUAUUUAAACAUUCUAACAUGCAGCAGGUGACUCAUCAGAAUAAAAGUGGAGUGUACAGAUUCUAG